GAAUUCCACGUGUAGCGGUGAAAUGCGUAGAGAUGUGGAGGAACACCAGUGGCGAAGGCGGCUCUUUGGUCUGUAACUGACGCUGAGGCGCGAAAGCGUGGGGAGCGAACAGGAUUAGAUACCCUGGUAGUCCACGCCGUAAACGAUGAGUGCUAAGUGUUGGGGGGUUUCCGCCCCUCAGUGCUGCAGCUAACGCAUUAAGCACUCCGCCUGGGGAGUACGGCCGCAAGGCUGAAACUCAAAGGAAUUGACGGGGGCCCGCACAAGCGGUGGAGCAUGUGGUUUAAUUCGAAGCAACGCGAAGAACCUUACCAGGUCUUGACAUCCCGCUGACCGGUCUGGAGACAGAUCUUCCCCUUCGGGGACAGCGGUGACAGGUGGUGCAUGGUUGUCGUCAGCUCGUGUCGUGAGAUGUUGGGUUAAGUCCCGCAACGAGCGCAACCCUUGAUCUUAGUUGCCAGCAUUUAGUUGGGCACUCUAAGGUGACUGCCGGUGACAAACCGGAGGAAGGUGGGGAUGACGUCAAAUCAUCAUGCCCCUUAUGACCUGGGCUACACACGUGCUACAAUGGAUGGUACAAAGGGCUGCAAGACCGCGAGGUUUAGCCAAUCCCAUAAAACCAUUCUCAGUUCGGAUUGCAGGCUGCAACUCGCCUGCAUGAAGCUGGAAUCGCUAGUAAUCGCGGAUCAGCAUGCCGCGGG
This 701-nucleotide ribosomal RNA is filed under the name Bacillus sp. (in: firmicutes). RNAcentral describes it as "bacterial SSU rRNA". It matches the Rfam family "Bacterial small subunit ribosomal RNA", at positions 664 to 1363 of the family's 1533-position model. Lineage: Bacteria; Bacillati; Bacillota; Bacilli; Caryophanales; Bacillaceae. The record is from RNAcentral.